GAGUUUGAUCAUGGCUCAGAGCGAACGCUAGCGGCGGGCCUAACACAUGCAAGUCGAGCGCAUACCUUCGGGUAUGAGCGGCGGACGGGUGAGUAACACGUAGGUCAUUUACCCUUUGGUGGGGGAUAACCCAGGGAAACUUGGGCUAAUACCGCAUGCGGCCUGCAAAGGUCAAAGCCCGCAAGGGCGCCAGAGGAUGAGCCUGCGUCGCAUUACCUAGUUGGCGGGGUAACGGCCCACCAAGGGGACGAUGCGUAGCUGGUCUGAGAGGAUGAUCAGCCACACUGGGACUGAGACACGGCCCAGACUCCUACGGGAGGCAGCAGUGGGGAAUAUUGCGCAAUGGGCGAAAGCCUGACGCAGCCACGCCGCGUGAGUGAUGAAGGCCUUCGGGUUGUAAAGCUCUGUCGGGAGGGACGAAGUUCUGACGGUACCUCCAAAGAAAGCACCGGCUAACUCCGUGCCAGCAGCCGCGGUAAUACGGAGGGUGCGAGCGUUGCUCGGAAUCAUUGGGCGUAAAGCGUACGCAGGCUGUCCUCCAAGUCGGGUGUGAAAGCCCAGGGCUCAACCCUGGAACUGCGCCCGAGACUGUUGGACUUGAGUGCGGG
Molecule: ribosomal RNA, 608 nt
Filed under: uncultured Pseudomonadota bacterium
Lineage: Bacteria; Pseudomonadati; Pseudomonadota
Description: bacterial SSU rRNA
Rfam family: Bacterial small subunit ribosomal RNA
Source: RNAcentral